AACGAACGCUGGCGGCAUGCCUAACACAUGCAAGUCGAACGAGACCUUCGGGUCUAGUGGCGCACGGGUGCGUAACGCGUGGGAACCUGCCUUUAGGUUCGGAAUAACUCAGAGAAAUUUGAGCUAAUACCGGAUAAUGUCUUCGGACCAAAGAUUUAUCGCCUUUAGAUGGGCCCGCGUUGGAUUAGCUAGUUGGUGGGGUAAAGGCCUACCAAGGCGACGAUCCAUAGCUGGUCUGAGAGGAUGAUCAGCCACACUGGGACUGAGACACGGCCCAGACUCCUACGGGAGGCAGCAGUGGGGAAUCUUAGACAAUGGGCGCAAGCCUGAUCUAGCCAUGCCGCGUGAGCGAUGAAGGCCUUAGGGUUGUAAAGCUCUUUCAGAUGGGAAGAUAAUGACGGUACCAUCAGAAGAAGCCCCGGCUAACUCCGUGCCAGCAGCCGCGGUAAUGUGACUACUG
RNAcentral lists this ribosomal RNA (460 nucleotides) under uncultured bacterium. Its description in RNAcentral is "bacterial SSU rRNA". It matches the Rfam family "Bacterial small subunit ribosomal RNA", at positions 29 to 532 of the family's 1533-position model. The record is from RNAcentral.